Molecule: ribosomal RNA, 566 nt
Filed under: uncultured archaeon
Lineage: Archaea
Description: bacterial SSU rRNA
Rfam family: Archaeal small subunit ribosomal RNA
Source: RNAcentral
CGCGAUUCGCCCUUCGGGGUGCAGCAGGCGCGAAAACUUUACAAUGCCGGCAACGGCGAUAAGGGAACCUCGAGUGCCAGGUUACAAAUCUGGCUGUCGUGAUGCCUAAAAAGCAUUGCAUAGCAAGGGCCGGGCAAGACCGGUGCCAGCCGCCGCGGUAACACCGGCGGCUCGAGUGGUAACCGUUAUUAUUGGGUCUAAAGGGUCUGUAGCCGGCCGGGUAAGUCUCUUGGGAAAUCUGGCAGCUUAACUGUCAGGCUUUCAGGAGAUACUGCCUGGCUCGAGGCCGGGAGAGGUGAGAGGUACUUCAGGGGUAGGGGUGAAAUCUUGUAAUCCUUGAAGGACCACCAGUGGCGAAGGCGUCUCACCAGAACGGACCUGACGGCAAGGGACGAAAGCUAGGGGCACGAACCGGAUUAGAUACCCGGGUAGUCCUAGCCGUAAACGAUACUCGCUAGGUGUCGGCCACGGUGCGACCGUGGUCGGUGCCGUAGGGAAGCCGUGAAGCGAGCCACCUGGGAAGUACGGCCGCAAGGCUGAAACUUAAAGGAAUUGGCGGGGAGCAC